Molecule: long non-coding RNA, 1468 nt
Filed under: Cyanistes caeruleus (blue tit)
Lineage: Eukaryota; Metazoa; Chordata; Aves; Passeriformes; Paridae
Description: lncRNA (ENSCCEG00000004489.1)
Source: RNAcentral
AAUUUAGCAUGUCUCCUAGCCAUAAAUAAAUGUACACUUCUGUUAAACAGGUAGAAGAUUAUUCUCAGCUCGAAUGUCAACCACAGCUAUGCAUCAAAACCUGCCUUCAGAAAAAAAAAGUAAAUAAUUUUUCCCAUCCCUUUUGUUUCUUUCUGUCUCUUCUGGUGUUUUGGUUUUUUACCUUCCUUUGACAUUUUUAUUCUUACCUUCUCCAUAUUUAUAUAAACACCUGUUGAGGCCUCUAUUUUUUCUAUCACUUAUCUCCCCUAGUUUCCUUCCCCCCUCAUUCUAGAUCUCGUUUCUGUCCUUUCCUUAUCUUGAGAGACACAGUCAAACUAUGACUAGUUUGUGGUUUAUGCUAUAACAUUUUAUAAAGAAGAGGCACAUGUCCAAAAUGUUCACUUAUUUUUGAAGCCAUGAGGCAGCAUCUACUCUUCUGUAGUUUUAGUGGUUUGCCCAUUUAGAGACACAAUUUUUUUUCAGAUAAUUUCUAAAAAUAUUCAAUCUUUUUAUCUAAAAAUGCACAAGCACAAUGCCAGUGAUAGCAACAUUCAAGUUCAGUGGUUGGUUUUUAACAGCAAAAGAUGGGGGCUAGUUUCCAUGAUGUUUUGGAGUGGAUCACAAUUCUGAAUUCUUUUUUUCCUACUAAAAUCCAAAAAAUCCAUCAUCUUGACUGUUCUCUCCUGCAUGGAAAAUCAGUUAGCUCACUUCUGAUGGAGGAAAUUAAACAAAUUAUAAGUUGAAUGACAGCAGAGUUUAGGCUCAGGUUUUGAACAUCAUAGCAAAAAGGACAUGGAGAGUAUUCAAAGAAACAUCAGUGUGCAAAAACAAUCCACAAAAUAGUGAAGGAUGGACUUUCACCUAAUGUAGACGCCCUUAAGGAGCUGUUGCAGAGACAAAAAUAAGAUUACAACGAGGAAACAAAAUUUUUUUUUUUGUAGUGUAUCCCCACUCUAUUACCACUAAAAACCAUUUGCCACUAUGAAUGAGUAUGUACAAAUUGUCAACGAAUCCUAAAGACUUUUGUGACUAAGAAUUGGUUUAGAUAUCCAGACCAUGUCUAACUGAUCUAUUAAUAGGUUCCUCAGGUAACUGAAUAUGCUUUGGUGUACAGUAUUAUGCUUCAAAAUGUGCAUUCCUGGCUCAGUAAAGUAUAACCUCUUGUAUCCUGUUGAUUUGUUUAAUUAAUUUUAAAGUUCUUUGUAAUUAUUAACCUGAAUUCUUUAUUAUUUUCCCUUUGCAAUGGAUGAUUUAACACAGCUUUCAUGCCCAUUCCCACCCCCUCUAACUCAUGUAGAAAUACAGUCUGAAGGAAAGCUGAAAGCUUAAGCUUUGAUGCCUGAAAGCCUGUUUUAUUUUCUGAUAUCAGAUUAGUUGUUCUGUUAUGUAAGGAACUUUGAUGAGUAUUUUCUCUCUAGUCUCUAACUGGGUAAAUAAAGUCAACACGGUUGUGUGGGUUGUUUUGUUU